This 912-nucleotide long non-coding RNA is filed under the name Piliocolobus tephrosceles (Ugandan red Colobus). RNAcentral describes it as "lncRNA (ENSPTEG00000038307.1)". The record is from RNAcentral. Lineage: Eukaryota; Metazoa; Chordata; Mammalia; Primates; Cercopithecidae.
AGUUUCUUGCUGGGAGCGAGGGAGAGGGUGUCACUCAUUGAGUGCUCAUUGGUUUAACCCCAUAGACUUCAUUCAUUCAUUCAUUCAUUCAUUCAUUCUUUCUUUCUUUCUGUAGUGCCUCUGCAGGGCUCUGAGGACGUCAUGAUGACUGAAGCCCUGCCUCCUGGAGCGCAGUGAAAGCCUGGAUUCUUAGGGGAGGUUAGACCCGAUGUCGCGUUGGUCCCUACAACAUCAUCCCCAGGGGCUCAAGCCCCUCCGGCGGUUCAAGCAGGGAGAGGAACGCCCAAGACAUCGAACUAGGAGGGAGGAAGGAGAGUUCCGCAGACAACAGGCGACCUCCUCCCCGCCACCCCCAGCCGGGAUUUCAGACAAAAAUCAGGAAUCGUCACCAGCCAAGACUGUGUUCUGACCAUGUGACGUCUUCCAGGCACCAGGAAGAAAUAUGACCAAUCUCCGUAACAAAUGAGAGAAGCUUCACCUGACUGUGUUCUGUGUAUUUGGUUUAUUAGUCUUUUUAAAAACGUGUACUUGUACUGCUGGGUUCAGGUUUUCAACCAUAGAAUAUUCUAGAAAAAAUAGUGAUAACGUUUAUUUCACCGCUCUAACCCUGAAUGUGCAGCUGUGUUUUUCCAAAAAACAUUUUUUUUUACAAUUGUAGAAUAUGUAACAUGCAUCCAGAAAUGUGCCCUAAACACAAACAUAUGAUUUGGCAAAUAAUUACAUAGCAAGUCCCACGUUACUGUCAUCUCAUCUAGAAAUCAUUGUCCUUCCAGAAGCCCCUCACGUGCUCUGGCCAUCCCAAAUCCCUCCCUGCCCCAGGGAUAAAUAAUAUUCCAUUUUGUUUAUUAACCAACUAUGAAUUUCUCAACACAGUAGAUUUGAUUAUGUUUGACUCUUAUAUGAAUGCAAUCC